GAUGAAGAACGCAGCGAAACGCGAAAUGUAAUGUGAAUUGCAGAAUUCAGUGAAUCAUCGAAUCUUUGAACGCACCUUGCGCUCUUGGGUUAUUCCUAGGAGCAUGCUUGUUUGAGUGUCGCUUACCCCCCUCAACCCCGCUGGUUCUUAUCAGCUGCCAGGGUUGGAUCGUGACGCCUGUGGGUCUGCCAAAGACCGACUGCGUUGAAAUGCAACAAGCUGAAUCCAGAAAGCGGCUUGACCCGUUGUCGUAACUUUUUAAACUCAAUGGGGACGCUGGACGGAAUGGGCUUACCAUAAACUAUCAUUUGACAAAUGACCUCAAAUCAAGUAGGACUACCCGCUGAACUUAAGCAUAUCAAUAAGCGGAGGA
RNAcentral lists this unclassified non-coding RNA (373 nucleotides) under soil metagenome. RNAcentral's name for it is "partial contains 5.8S ribosomal RNA, internal transcribed spacer 2, and large subunit ribosomal RNA". The stretch from base 1 to 121 matches the Rfam family "5.8S ribosomal RNA", at positions 35 to 154 of the family's 154-position model. The record is from RNAcentral.